GGUCAACGUGGAUCCCGAGGAUCUCAUUCCCAAACUGCCCCGGCCGAGGGAUCUGCAGCCGUUCCCCACCACCCAGGCUCUGAUUUACCGUGGCCAUUCCAGCCUGGUGCGGACCAUCAGCGUCUCCCCCAGCGGGCAGUGGUUGGUGUCAGGCUCGGAUGACGGCACGGUGCGUUUCUGGGAGGUGAGCUCGGGGCGCUGCCUGCGCACGCUGCCCGUCGGAUCCGUGGUCAAGAGCGUGGCCUGGAACCCCAACCCCUCCAUCUGCCUGGUGGCCGUGGCCGUGGACGAGCAGGUGCUGCUGGG
Zonotrichia albicollis (white-throated sparrow) is the source of this 306-nucleotide non-coding RNA. Lineage: Eukaryota; Metazoa; Chordata; Aves; Passeriformes; Passerellidae. The record is from RefSeq and is a predicted model, not a curated record.